UACGAAGGGUGCAAGCGUUAAUCGGAAUUACUGGGCGUAAAGCGUGCGCAGGCGGUUUUGUAAGUCUGUCGUGAAAGCCCCGGGCUCAACCUGGGAAUUGCGUUGGAGACUGCAAGGCUAGAAUCUGGCAGAGGGGGGUAGAAUUCCACGUGUAGCAGUGAAAUGCGUAGAGAUGUGGAGGAACACCGAUGGCGAAGGCAGCCCCCUGGGUCAAGAUUGACGCUCAUGCACGAAAGCGUGGGGAGCAAACAGG
Molecule: ribosomal RNA, 253 nt
Filed under: uncultured bacterium
Lineage: Bacteria
Description: partial 16S ribosomal RNA
Rfam family: Bacterial small subunit ribosomal RNA
Source: RNAcentral